UGCCAGCAGCCGCGGUAAUACGGAGGAUCCAAGCGUUAUCCGGAAUCAUUGGGUUUAAAGGGUCCGUAGGUGGAUAGAUAAGUCAGAGGUGAAAUCCUGCAGCUCAACUGUAGAAUUGCCUUUGAUACUGUUUAUCUUGAGUCAUUAUGAAGUGGUUAGAAUGUGUAGUGUAGCGGUGAAAUGCAUAGAGAUGUUACAGAACACCAAUUGCGAAGGCAGUUCACUAAGCUAUUAUUGACGCUAAGGGACGAAAGCGUGGGUAGCGAACAGGAUUAGAUA
Molecule: ribosomal RNA, 279 nt
Filed under: uncultured bacterium
Lineage: Bacteria
Description: partial 16S ribosomal RNA
Rfam family: Bacterial small subunit ribosomal RNA
Source: RNAcentral